RNAcentral lists this long non-coding RNA (641 nucleotides) under Phoenix dactylifera (date palm). Its description in RNAcentral is "long non-coding RNA (PDAC_LNC020134)". Lineage: Eukaryota; Viridiplantae; Streptophyta; Magnoliopsida; Arecales; Arecaceae. The record is from RNAcentral.
GUCAGUCCGGGUUACUGUUCAUCCGGGUGGAAAAUAAGGGAUUUCAUGCUAUAAUAGAGUAUUAAGCCUAGAUCAAGCUAAAAGGAACCUUGUACUCAUACAAAAGAGUCCCUAAUACACAUAAAUAGUGAGUUAAUUUAUUAAAAAGAAAAAGAAGAAAGAAAAGAAAAGAUUUAGAAAAAACGGGGGAGUUGAAUCAAUUAAAGUUUCCUAUAUUAUAAUUGGCACGUAGAUUAUAGCCCUUAAUACAAAACUAAAUAUAUUGUAAAUGCAUGUAUCAGUUGGGCAAGAAGCUAGGGAACAAGAGGAAGAAGUUCCCCACUGCCAGCUGUAGAUUUUUGGAGGCGUAUCAGGGCCGUGCCGGAUUGGCAGGUGAGUGGGAGUCAUGUACUUUGCACCAUGAGCAUUCUUAAUUCAUUUUCAUAAAUGUCACUAAGUGUGAAUUGAUUCCACUUGAGCAUAUUGAUUGAUAUUGUAGUAGAUUCCUCUAUAAUCUUGAUUCUCCAUGCUUGAUUAUCCUGUACAUGCAUUUGAGGAAACAUUGAGAGGAAUUACGAGGGGUUGAUGAGUAACCAAAUUGAUUCCGAAUUGUGAAAUAACUUCUUUUGUAAAUUGAUUUCAUUUCCUCUAUUUCAAAGACU